Molecule: long non-coding RNA, 1907 nt
Organism: Struthio camelus australis
Lineage: Eukaryota; Metazoa; Chordata; Aves; Struthioniformes; Struthionidae
Source: RefSeq, a predicted model, not a curated record
UGCUUAGUGGUUGCCAAACGGUAGCUUAUGACGCUGAAGAGAUUACUAAGUAGCCUCAGAAAAGAAAAUAAGCUCAGAAAAGCAUAUAUGAAAAGUGAUAUCUACAGUUCUAGUUUAAUGUAGUGCGUUACAGCAGCAGUUGUUCUGUUUCUUCUGUUGUGGACAAUGUUUUCAGUGUUAGAGUAUUCAAGGAAGCCUGGGAUGCUGUUUUCUUACCUACUGCUGAUCCUUCUACAAGCAAGGGCUUGCAACGUUGACAGCAAGGCAUGGGCAGUCAUACUGGAUUUCUGAACCACCAGACCAACCAAACUGUCAUAGGAGCACAGGCGGAACAGCUAAUUGGGAAAAAAUAAGGUGAUUUAAGAUACAUGACACUUCCUUUUCGCGCAGAAUGCACCAUGUCAUCAUCUCGUUUUCGGAGCAUGGGAGCUGUCGGCAUUAUAACCUGGUGGAAACAUACAGAACUAGUCUCUGGGUUUUCCUUUUACUAACCGCCUCCAGAAAAAAUCACUCACACUUCUAAAGAAUAACUAGAUCCUUAAUUUUCUGAAGAUCCUAGGAAUUUGCAUGCCAUUUUCCUACUUUCUGAAAAUGAAAGGUAGGAUCAGAGCACUUAAACAGUGUGAGUGCCAGAGUCUUCCUUGGACAUAAAGUCUAAAACACACUGCAGCAACAGCCUGCUAAUCCACCUACAAGUUCACAUUAGCUUCUUACUGUUACUUUCAAUAAGCAAAAGUCACAGCGCAGACACCAUAAAAAUCAGAUUUAUGCAAGUUUAAUAAGCCUCAUUGCAAGUUAUUUCUCAGAUUUUCAUGGUCUGCUUAUCUUGGAAAGCAUGUAGAAAGGAAAACAAAAACCCUUUCAAACCUAGCGUUCUUCCACCAGCACCAAAAACAAAGGCAAAACAGUAAUUUCCUCUUGUGCCGGAGAGAGAAGUCAACAUUUUGCUCUGCACAGUGCUGUGAAAGCUCUCAUGGUGGGAAACACUUCUUUGUCAUAGAGAAGCUCAAAGUUGUAUUAAGAGAUAAGCUUUUAAUUAAAUUGGACUUCCUGAGAAGCUGCUAAAGACUAUCGCACUGCUAUCCUGCUGCAGAGACCAUCAAUUGUGGCACUGACAGCAAGCAGCCCUACAGCUCAGAGCCACGAAGUAUUUUGCAUUUUCUCAGUAUUCCUUUCACAAUCAAAACCCGAACUCAAUUGUAUUAUGCUUAAACCGAUUGUUUUUGUGACAAAAAUAUGUUUGCUCUGUUCGCUGAAUGAGGCCAUACAAUUCGUGUUAAAAUCGGUGGAACUACACAGCUAAAAUCAGCACUCAUAGCAUCCUCGUGCAGAGGAGUGGAAUUAGAUAUGAUAAUUGUUUAGCAUGAUCAGCUUUUUCCCUCUUUCACCAUUUAAUUAGCAAGUGGAAGUUGUCAAUUUGGAGGCUGCUAUCAAGUGUCAAGGUGUUAUAAUAGUCCUGACUAGUAAGGGUUACUGAUAAAGGACUGGAAAGAUCACGGAGAGGUGGUAGAAAAGCUGUAGCUUGAUCCUGCUUGGGAAGCAGCACUACUGUAAAUAUUGAGAUGUCCUGAGAUUGGAAAUCAAUGACUAGUGUGGUACAGGCCUAAACCUGUGAGAAAACAGAUAUCAGAUAUCCAAACAGAAAACAGUUCCCAUGAACUGUUCAGACGGGUUUUGCAGUUCUUUUCUUUGUGUUUCUUGUUCUAUUUUCAUUCUAUUCCAGUAUUUAUUUAGUAAUUAUCCUGUAGCAUUCGAGCCUCUCAAGAUUAUAUAUAUUAUUGGAAAUAUUUUGUCAAUGCACAGUUUAUUAUAUGAAACUGUGAAGAAUUACAUUAAAUGUAGUUAGGAAUCGUAAUAAUGAUCACCUAAUGCAAAGUAUAAGCUGUUUUUCUUCUCAGAGUCUACAC